Molecule: ribosomal RNA, 504 nt
Filed under: uncultured bacterium
Lineage: Bacteria
Description: partial 16S ribosomal RNA
Rfam family: Bacterial small subunit ribosomal RNA
Source: RNAcentral
ACGAACGCUGGCGGCGUGCCUAAUACAUGCAAGUAGAACGCACAGUUUAUACCGUAGCUUGCUACACCAUAGACUGUGAGUUGCGAACGGGUGAGUAACGCGUAGGUAACCUGCCUGGUAGCGGGGGAUAACUAUUGGAAACGAUAGCUAAUACCGCAUAAUAUUAAUUAUUGCAUGAUAAUUAAUUGAAAGGUGCAAUUGCACCACUACCAGAUGGACCUGCGUUGUAUUAGCUAGUAGGUGAGGUAACGGCUCACCUAGGCGACGAUACAUAGCCGACCUGAGAGGGUGAUCGGCCACACUGGGACUGAGACACGGCCCAGACUCCUACGGGAGGCAGCAGUAGGGAAUCUUCGGCAAUGGACGAAAGUCUGACCGAGCAACGCCGCGUGAGUGAAGAAGGUUUUCGGAUCGUAAAGCUCUGUUGUAAGAGAAGAACGGGCGUGAGAGUGGAAAGUUCACACUGUGACGGUAUCUUACCAGAAAGGGACGGCUAACUACGUG